UAUAUAAUUGAGAGUAAAGGGCAUUUUUAUUAUAUUUAAGGUAACUUUUUUUAUUGUUGCCAGCUGACCAAGAUCGAAAGAGUGGGUUGAUUCGGUUUUAAAGUAUUCCGUCAUAGGAAGCUGAAAGACCUCAUGAACAGCAGGACAGAAAGGAUUGUUAAAUAUUUAAAUAUGUGAAAUUUAUGAAAAUAUAUAUGGAUAUAGACUUUUGUAAUAAAGUGUGUAUUAUUUAA
Gordionus sp. m RMFG-2023 is the source of this 233-nucleotide long non-coding RNA. RefSeq lists it as uncharacterized. The record is from RefSeq and is a predicted model, not a curated record. NCBI's taxonomy places the organism in Eukaryota, Metazoa, Nematomorpha, Gordioida, Chordodea, Parachordodidae. The transcript has 2 exons.